RNAcentral lists this ribosomal RNA (253 nucleotides) under uncultured bacterium. Its description in RNAcentral is "partial 16S ribosomal RNA". It matches the Rfam family "Bacterial small subunit ribosomal RNA", at positions 524 to 776 of the family's 1533-position model. The record is from RNAcentral.
UACGUAGGGUGCAGGCGUUAAUCGGAAUUACUGGGCGUAAAGCGUGCGCAGGCGGUCUUUUAAGUCAGAUGUGAAAGCCCCGGGCUCAACCUGGGAACUGCAUUUGAAACUGGCGGGCUUGAGUAUGGCAGAGGGGGGUGGAAUUCCGCGUGUAGCAGUGAAAUGCGUAGAGAUGCGGAGGAACACCGAUGGCGAAGGCAGCCCCCUGGGCCAAUACUGACGCUCAGGCACGAAAGCGUGGGGAGCAAACAGG